AGGGUUCGAGUUCUGGCUCAGGAGUGAACGCUAGCGGCAGGCCUAACACAUGCAAGUCGAGGGGUAACAGGGGGUAGCAAUACCCUGCUGACGACCGGCGCACGGGUGCGUAACGCGUAUGCAACCUGCCCCGUACAGGGGUAUAACGGAGAGAAAUUUCCACUAAUUCCCCAUGGAGACACCGGGAUGCAUGUUCUGGUGUCUAAAGCCUAGGUGGUACGGGAUGGGCAUGCGUGACAUUAGGUAGUUGGUGGGGCAACGGUCCACCAAGCCCACGAUGUCUAGGGGAGCUGAGAGGCUAGUCCCCCCACACUGGUACUGAGACACGGACCAGACUCCUACGGGAGGCAGCAGUGAGGAAUAUUGGUCAAUGGUGGGAACACUGAACCAGCCAUGCCGCCGUGAGGGAGGAAGGCCCUAUGGGUUGUAAACCUCUUUUGACGGGGGUCAAUAAGCGCCGUGCGCGGCGUGAUGAGCGUACCCGUCGAAUAAGCAUCGGCUAACUCCGUGCCAGCCGCGGC
RNAcentral lists this ribosomal RNA (521 nucleotides) under uncultured bacterium. RNAcentral's name for it is "bacterial SSU rRNA". It matches the Rfam family "Bacterial small subunit ribosomal RNA", at positions 1 to 518 of the family's 1533-position model. The record is from RNAcentral.